RNAcentral lists this transfer RNA (92 nucleotides) under Sphaerobolus stellatus SS14. It matches the Rfam family "tRNA". From Rfam's summary of the family: Transfer RNA (tRNA) molecules are approximately 80 nucleotides in length. The record is from Rfam by way of RNAcentral. Lineage: Eukaryota; Fungi; Basidiomycota; Agaricomycetes; Geastrales; Sphaerobolaceae.
GCCUUGCUAGGUCAAUUGGUAGAGCGUGAGUUUUUACGAUGUUCAUCCGCGAAAUAAUUUUAAGGUUGCGGGUUCAACCCCUGCGUAAGGCU